This 507-nucleotide ribosomal RNA is filed under the name uncultured bacterium. Its description in RNAcentral is "bacterial SSU rRNA". It matches the Rfam family "Bacterial small subunit ribosomal RNA", at positions 40 to 507 of the family's 1533-position model. The record is from RNAcentral.
CGGCGUGCCUAAUACAUGCAAGUCGAACGCACUCUCGUUUAGAUUGAAGGAGCUUGCUCCUGAUUGAUAAACAUUUGAGUGAGUGGCGGACGGGUGAGUAACACGUGGGUAACCUGCCCUAAAGUGGGGAUAACAUUUGGAAACAGAUGCUAAUACCGCAUAAAACCUAACACCGCAUGGUGUAGGGUUGAAAGAUGGUUUCGGCUAUCACUUUAGGAUGGACCCGCGGUGCAUUAGUUAGUUGGUGAGGUAAAGGCUCACCAAGACCGUGAUGCAUAGCCGACCUGAGAGGGUAAUCGGCCACACUGGGACUGAGACACGGCCCAGACUCCUACGGGAGGCAGCAGUAGGGAAUCUUCCACAAUGGACGAAAGUCUGAUGGAGCAACGCCGCGUGAGUGAAGAAGGUUUUCGGAUCGUAAAACUCUGUUGUUGGAGAAGAAUGUAUCUGAUAGUAACUGAUCAGGUAGUGACGGUAUCCAACCAGAAAGCCACGGCUAACUACGUG